RNAcentral lists this small RNA (28 nucleotides) under Bombyx mori (domestic silkworm). Its description in RNAcentral is "ovarian small RNA-29978". The record is from RNAcentral. Lineage: Eukaryota; Metazoa; Arthropoda; Insecta; Lepidoptera; Bombycidae.
UCUGCGCAUGGCGUCGGCGAACGCACGC